GAUGAACGCUAGCUACAGGCUUAACACAUGCAAGUCGAGGGGCAGCGGGAGGAUGCUUUGCAUUCUCCGUCCGGCGACCGGCGCACGGGUGAGUAACGCGUAUCGGACCUGCCUCAUACCCGGGAACAGGCCUUGCGAAAGUAAGAUUAAUGCCCGAUGUUCCGCAGAUGCCGCAUGGUGUCUUCGGCAAAGUAUUUUUUACGGAUGAGAUGGCGAUCGCGUUCCCAUUAGCUUGUUGGCGGGUAACGCCCACCAAGGCGACGAUGGGUAGGGUUCUGA
Molecule: ribosomal RNA, 279 nt
Filed under: uncultured bacterium
Lineage: Bacteria
Description: partial 16S ribosomal RNA
Rfam family: Bacterial small subunit ribosomal RNA
Source: RNAcentral